Molecule: long non-coding RNA, 904 nt
Organism: Oreochromis niloticus (Nile tilapia)
Lineage: Eukaryota; Metazoa; Chordata; Actinopteri; Cichliformes; Cichlidae
Exons: 5
Source: RefSeq, a predicted model, not a curated record
UCUACCUGUUCGCUGAGCUCCAUGGAAUUUCUGUGCCAAGAGUUUUGCUUGCCCAUUAAGCAGUACCAGGAAGAUAAUUUUCCAGACUUCACCACCAUGCACAUUAGCUGCGGGUCGCCACCUCCGUCAGGUUAACUGGAGGAGUAGUCUUGCCGUGAAGUCACAAGAAGAUAGAGGCAUGCAUCUGGAGAGAGGACGAGUUAUCAACACAGACUCUGAUGAUGAACAACCUCAUGUAAAAGUACCAGGAGGAGUAGUCUUGCCGUGAAGUCACAAGAAGAUAGAGGCAUGCAUCUGGAGAGAGGACGAGGGGGGUAGAAUUUUCUUUCUCUGCACUCGCAUCUCCAGCGUGCCCGCGUUAGCGCACAUUCAGCGAGCCUCCAGUGAACCUCCAGCGAGCCUCCAGCGAGCCCGGGAUCGUUGGGGAUCGUUGGAGUCAAACUGGAGGUGCGCUUGUGCCUCUCCAGCGUAUCCGCGAUGACGCCUCUCCAGCGUAUCCGCGAUGACGCCUCUCCAGCGGGCCCGCGAUGAUGCGCCUCCAGCGGGCCCGCGUUGACACAGCUCCAGCGAGCCUCCAGUGACCCUCCAGCGAUCCCGGGGUCGCUGGAGUCAAACUGGAGGUGCGCUUGUGUCUCCAGCGGGCCCGCGUUGACGCCUUUCCAGCGGGCUUGCGUUGACGCGUCUGCAGCGUGCCCGCGUUGACGCGUCUGCAGCGUGCCCGCUUUAACAAGCCUGCGACAAAAGAAGUUCUCUCACUCAGAGGAGUCUCUGACUUUCUCUUUGUUUUCUUUUAGUUAUCAACACAGACUCUGAUGAUGAACAACCUCAUGUAAAAGUACCAGGAGGAGUAGUCUUGCCGUGAAGUCACAAGAAGAUAGAGGCAUGCAUCUGGAGAGAGGACGAG